CGACGCCAUAUUUAUUUUUCAUUCCAUCAUAAUCGUUUGCAGUUGUACGCAUUAUUAGCGUUUUAGCAGUAUGAGGCCUUCAAAAACAAGAACGCAGACCCGAUCGUUCUCAAAUCCGGAGAUUUUACGUGUGAUCCUAAACCAUCGGCAACUUUCAUCGCCACCAGCUGGCAAACAGGCAGACUCCAGUGCGACGGUCCCGCCUGUUGAUGACAGUGGCCGGAAAAGUAAGACCCUCCUGCGCGCACACGGUCACCUAUCUGGUAUGCACUUUUCGCAGUUUCGCAAUGACCUGUUGGCUACUGGUUUCCCACACUGCCUGCUGGCACAUCCAAAGAGGACAGACAGCUCCAUAUCAAACGCAGUAUUAGUUUUCGAUAUAUCAGCGAAGGGUGAAAACCGUUGGAUUCCAUCCUGCGAUCGAUUGCCUACUCUAUUAAAUUGUUGUGAGGUGGGCCCUAAGUUACCUACAGGAGUCAUUUGCGAAUUCAAUGCCACUCGGCUGGCUGCGGAAAAUAAUAUUUAGGAACUCGAGGACCUUGUCAGUUGGGCAGACGCUGAAAUUUGAUUGAUAAGUUUGGCAUUUAUACAAGCUAUUCCACGUCGGCAUGUGUGAUACUAAGAUAUCGUAGUACAUAUUUGGAAGUAACGGGCAAGGAAGGAAGGUCAAGAGGACAGUACAUAAUUCUUUCGGGAACUCAAAUGGCUGCGGUACCCAAGGCGUCUGUGCCGAGGCUAGCAGCAGCUGAUGCACACUGCCCAUGACAAUUAUAUACUAUUAUGAGUUAAUUUCAUGCAAUUUAAUUAUAUAUAUUUUCAAGAUACAGAUCCGGUAGGACCAAGGGUAGGACAGAUAUGAUAUAAAGAAGAGAGACAUGAAAUUUAUAAAACUAUUAUUUAUUACGUUGAAAAAAA
Long non-coding RNA from Armigeres subalbatus, 915 nucleotides. RefSeq lists it as uncharacterized. Lineage: Eukaryota; Metazoa; Arthropoda; Insecta; Diptera; Culicidae. The transcript is spliced from 4 exons. The record is from RefSeq and is a predicted model, not a curated record.